RNAcentral lists this ribosomal RNA (429 nucleotides) under Gemmatimonadota bacterium. RNAcentral's name for it is "Gemmatimonadetes bacterium partial 16S ribosomal RNA". It matches the Rfam family "Bacterial small subunit ribosomal RNA", at positions 355 to 776 of the family's 1533-position model. Lineage: Bacteria; Pseudomonadati; Gemmatimonadota. The record is from RNAcentral.
UAGGGAAUCUUCGGCAAUGGACGAAAGUCUGACCGAGCAACGCCGCGUGAGUGAAGAAGGUUUUCGGAUCGUAAAACUCUGUUGUUAGAGAAGAACAAGGACGUUAGUAACUGAACGUCCCCUGACGGUAUCUAACCAGAAAGCCACGGCUAACUACGUGCCAGCAGCCGCGGUAAUACGUAGGUGGCAAGCGUUGUCCGGAUUUAUUGGGCGUAAAGCGAGCGCAGGCGGUUUCUUAAGUCUGAUGUGAAAGCCCCCGGCUCAACCGGGGAGGGUCAUUGGAAACUGGGAGACUUGAGUGCAGAAGAGGAGAGUGGAAUUCCAUGUGUAGCGGUGAACUGCGUAGAUAUAUGGAGGAACACCAGUGGCGAAGGCGGCUCUCUGGUCUGUAACUGACGCUGAGGCUCGAAAGCGUGGGGAGCAAACAGG